Molecule: non-coding RNA, 1867 nt
Organism: Pogona vitticeps (central bearded dragon)
Lineage: Eukaryota; Metazoa; Chordata; Lepidosauria; Squamata; Agamidae
Source: RefSeq, a predicted model, not a curated record
UGUCAGAGCACAAGGGAAUUUCCCAUUGGUCCUUUGGGGUUUUGGGAAUCAGCCGAAGGAAUUUCACCUCUAUGCAAGGAUGCUCAAAGACUCUGCCUCUCAGCUACGCAGCGCAGGGGAGGGAUUGCUGCCGCGUACUCCUGGACUGGACAAGUUCUGAUAGGGGGCCCUAUCUUUCACCUGUCGGCCUGACCCAGGGCAUAUGAGAAAGAAGCUUUCUUUAAAGAACAGGAGCCUACCCUGUACCACUGGUGUAAAAUGAUGGUAGCAGUAGAAAGACACCCGGUUGUGGAGAGACGUAAGCCAUGGAUGGACCGACCCCCGAACCCCCCAAUGUCGAUUUGGACAAAGGAUUAACGCUGGCAUGCUUCGUCUUCCUCUGCCUCUUCUUGAUUGUCAUGAUCAUCCGUUGCGCCAGAGUCAUCAUGGACCCUUACAGCGCCAUCCCCACGUCCACGUGGGAGGAGCAACACCUGGAUGAUUGACAGGCGGUUGAGAAAGAGGCGGGCAACCGGGCCAAGCAAGGGAGAAUGAGCAUGGACCGGCCUGUUGCUCCGUUUGGAUGACACCGCUUUUUCAAGAAGCAUACGGCCACAUCAGUUCCUCGGAGAGCACAGUUUCUUGGUCUUAUCAGCUGGGAUGCGCCCUUGCGUCCCUCAUUCUCCAGCCCUAUUUCUAUGGAAUGACCUCCAGGUUUUAACGAGGAAAUAAUAAUAAUGAUGAUGAUCGUAAGCAAAGUAGCACAAAAGCUCUCUAGGCACUAAAUCCUCAGCUGAGCUUUUUCUAGUGGAAUCUCUCUUAAGCACCUAUUCCCUCCAUUUAAAUCAACAUCUGUGAUUUGGAAUGGCACACAGACCUUGUUCAACAUAGACCAUGAACACUCAGGCGUAGAUAUCAGGGUAUGAGGGUUCAAGAUUUUCUUGUUGACCAAAGUGGGAGAGGGAGGGAGUUAUUUCAGAAUCGAUUAGCAAUAAAAAAGGCUUUUGGGGUGGGUGGGUUUCUCCCCCUUCAGCACAAUAACUAUACACUAUAAGGUCGAUUGCAUUUUUUUUAAAAAAACGGUAACAGAACAGAUGUCAGCGUAUGAGAAAAGGAUCACUAUUCUUCCUCCGCUACUAUUGUGCAGUUACGGCAACUUAACUGGUGCCAUAACAGACCCACUGAGAUAGAAGAGGCACCAGCCAUGCCCCAGAGAUGAGGAAAUUUUGUGGGGUUGGAUCACCACUUGUGGAAUAUCCAGCCAGUGUGGCUACUAAGGGAUUCUUGAGACAUAGUCCACAAAAGUUACUUUUCUGAUUCUAAUGAGCAAGGGCAGUCUUAACUGGACCGCCUUCAGGCCCAAUGCUAAUUUUUUUUCGCCUGUCCGGCUGCCCUUAAAGGCUUAGAGGAUGGAAGAUGGAGGCACUAAUGCAUUCACUUGUAUUGCUUCUUCCUUUUCUAAAGUGGCACAGUUUUCCUGACCCUCUGGAACUUUUGCCCCGGAGGCUGGUAGGGAGAAGGGAAAAGCCAACCUAGAUCCUUUUCAAUACCUCCCCUGCUGAUCCUUCUGAAUCUCCUCCUGCAUCCCAUCUCCAGAGGUUUCUCCAAGGCCAACCAAGUUGACCACGACUUUCCCUUCAAAGAGGCGUGGAAGUCUCACAUCUGCAGGAGUAGCUGCUUUGGGUCGUGGAGAGGUACUGGUGCUGGCCUGCAUGAGACCAAGUGCCUCAGCAAAUUUUUAUUUGACAGCAAAUAAAAUAACAUUGAUUUCCAAUCUUCUCAUCGCCCCGCCCCACCCGUUCCCUCCAGUUACUCUCAAGAGAAAGGAGACCUUGUAGCAAAUGUAUUACUUAAUAAAACAAAUGCUUACCAGAAAGUGCUGUGUCAU